GCGUUCUUCAUCUGGAACGAAAAGUUGACGAAGAAGACAGCAACCAGGCUGAUUUUGUCAAGGGCCUUGAAUCGUGUCCAGACGACUCCAGAUCUAUUCGUUGCUGGUUCCGCUGCACCCAAGGUCCGUGGGAGGAGCCAAGAUCGUGCUCCAAUAGUUUCAUAUGUCGAAUAUCAACUAGUCCGAUAUUGUCUUGCGCAGAUUGGUUGACAUGGUCAAAUUGAGAUGGUGGU
RNAcentral lists this long non-coding RNA (233 nucleotides) under Elaeis guineensis (African oil palm). RNAcentral describes it as "long non-coding RNA (EGUI_LNC037752)". The record is from RNAcentral. Lineage: Eukaryota; Viridiplantae; Streptophyta; Magnoliopsida; Arecales; Arecaceae.